UACGUAGGGGGCAAGCGUUGUCCGGAAUCAUUGGGCGUAAAGAGCGCGUAGGCGGCCUGUUGCGUCUGCUGUGAAAUUCCAGGGCUUAACCCUGGGCUUGCAGUGGAUACGGGCAGACUAGAGGCAGGUAGGGGAGAAUGGAAUUCCCGGUGUAGCGGUGAAAUGCGCAGAUAUCGGGAGGAACACCGGUGGCGAAGGCGGUUCUCUGGGCCUGACCUGACGCUGAGGAGCGAAAGCGUGGGGAGCGAACAGG
Molecule: ribosomal RNA, 253 nt
Filed under: uncultured bacterium
Lineage: Bacteria
Description: partial 16S ribosomal RNA
Rfam family: Bacterial small subunit ribosomal RNA
Source: RNAcentral